Molecule: non-coding RNA, 1742 nt
Organism: Leptonychotes weddellii (Weddell seal)
Lineage: Eukaryota; Metazoa; Chordata; Mammalia; Carnivora; Phocidae
Source: RefSeq, a predicted model, not a curated record
GAGGCACGCCACCGAGGAGUUGUAUAGAAUGGAAAGUUUUUAUAGAUGGAGGGUGGGGGCAAGAAAAUUAUUAGCAAAAGAAAAGGAUUGUUCCAGACCAUGCUGUUCACUAGGGGGAAAAGUAACUGUCUUAUCAUGCAGAUUACCUCAUCUUUCUUUGGGGGAUGGAGAGGACCCAGGUAACAGACUCAUUGGUGCUGAUGGAAAAAAAAAAAAUCCUGACUGACUGGUUAAGGCCAAACUUCUUGGGGAGGCUGAAACUGCAGUUAGAUUGGGUAUUGAGUCCAGGUUUAGGAACUCAGUCUAAAUGAUACCAUUUGGGGCCUGUGGAUUUAUUUUUUUUAGCAAUAUUUUUAACUGAGUGAUUAGACUUAGUCCCUGGGACUUAAUAAUAAUUUUGGGUACAUAUACUGAAAUCAGUUCAAUUCAAUUCCUUUAUUUCGGUAGCCCUUCAUUUAGAGCUGUCCUGUUAUGUUCUAAGCACUGUGCCAGAAACUGUUGAUAAAGAUAGAUAAUACCUCAUCUUUAAUAGCCCAUGAUCUAGCCGUGCAGACUGAAUAAAGCUGUAAUAUGAUACAUUAAGGGCCUCAGUGAGAAUUACAUUUUUUUUCUUAGUGCUUUUUUUCUUAUGCUAUAUAUUCCCAUAGGAAUACAGUUGUUGGAGUAAUUAAUUUUCUCGUGAGGAGAAUAGAAGUCACUAAUAAUGCCUAGGAAGUGGAAGGAUUCAAAGUGACUGGUGUAUCAAAUGGUGUGUCUGGUUUGAGGAACAGUAAUACUCUGGAGUAGCUAAAGAACUCUGGAGUUGAGGUUGCUGCAGUGGGCAAGGGAUAAAUCAGUAAGGACCUUGAAUGAUGGCUGAAGAUGUUCAGUUCAGUUCUGUGGGUGAUGAGUCAUCCAAUGGUGUUAAGUUGGAGAUUGAUUUGAUCAGAUUUGUUAUUUAAAAGAUAACUCUCCAAAUUUAGGAAAGCCGAUGAGGCAGGAAACAUAGUGAGGAGGUGACCAUUGAGAUAUUUAGGUGACAGUGGAAAUGAGAGAAGAGAACAGAUCUAUAAGAUGCUUCAUCAUCCAUAUUGAUAGGAACUGUUGGCGACUGGACAUGGGCAAUAAGGGAAGUAUCAAGAUAACUCCAAGCUUCUUAGUUUGGACCACCAAGUGUCUAGACAGUGAUAUGUUAAUCAAUAAUGGAAAUUCAAGAGAGGAAAUAUAUUUUGGAGGUGGGAAGUAGAAAACAAGUUUGGUUUUGGACAUUGUAUUGGUUACUACUGAUUGCCUAGUCAACAUUUAUUUCCUACCUUCUUUCUUAGGAGAAGAUAACCCUUAUUUGUGUUCUAAGGAUAUAUCAUGGUUCAUCUAACUCAACAGUUCUCAGCCAGGGGUGAUUUUGCCCCUGCAGGGGACAUUUGGCAAUGUCUGGAGACAUUUUCAGUUGUCGCAAGUGGGGAAUGCUACUGACACAUGGAUUGUUGCAUCCACCAGCUACCAGCCUGAGGAUGAAGCCCACAUGCAGAAGAGGGCAGAGCCAAGAAAAAUGCGAAAAAGAAGAUCCAGAGUCUUGAUGGACAUCUAACAGUGCCUGUAGCCUGCUCUAUCUCUUGUUCCAUGGGGCUGUAAAUUUACUUAUAGUCUAAGAUAGAAUAAGUAGAGGUUUCCUAUUACUUGUAACUAAAAGCAUCCUGAUACCACCAUGUUGAAUUGCUUAUGGAUAACUCAAAAUGGUAGUAAUUAAAGUGUUGAAAACAUGA